AACGUAGGAGACGAGCGUUAUCCGGAUUUACUGGGCGUAAAGCGCGUGUAGGAGGCAUCACAAGUUGGAUGUUAAAUAUCCCGGCUUAACCGGGAGGGGUCGUUCAAAACUGUGGAGCUAGAGUACGGGAGAGGUAAUCGGAACUCCGGGAGUAGCGGUGAAAUGCGUAGAUAUCCGGAAGAACACCAGAGGCGAAAGCGGAUUACUGGCCCGAAACUGACACUAAGACGCGAAAGCGUGGGGAUCAAAC
RNAcentral lists this ribosomal RNA (250 nucleotides) under uncultured prokaryote. RNAcentral describes it as "partial 16S ribosomal RNA". It matches the Rfam family "Bacterial small subunit ribosomal RNA", at positions 524 to 773 of the family's 1533-position model. The record is from RNAcentral.